Molecule: RNA transcript, 6035 nt
Organism: Camelus dromedarius (Arabian camel)
Lineage: Eukaryota; Metazoa; Chordata; Mammalia; Artiodactyla; Camelidae
Gene name: protein CutA homolog
Exons: 7
Source: RefSeq, a predicted model, not a curated record
AGGGCCGCACCAAUAGCAUUGCGGAGCUGGCGGGCAGAGCGCACUCCCAGGCUGCGAAGCCUCGCGAGACCGGGGCCCAUUAGGGUCGCUGGUGGUUAGGGGGUUCGCAGCCUGGCGUCCUCUCGUGCGCCUUUCGGUCUUGCAGCCCGACCCUCCGUUCGGCCUGCCUCUGGCCCACCGAGAGCGAAGGCUGAGUAAAUGGCCGGCAGGAGUAGCGAUGAGAAUGAGGACCAUCCGAAGGUUAAACGGCCUUGCGGGCGGCCUCCUGGCUCUAAAACUAGGCUCUCGGCAGCGGCUUAGGCCGCCCGGGGCGAAGCGGAGCACCCGGCUCCCGGCCGGACGCCUGUCAUGAGGAGGCGGAGGGUCAUGCUCCUGGAAGACAGCUUGAAAAUUCUCGAGAAGCUGGAAGAAGGCGUGAGUAACACCGACGUGGGGCGCCUUCCUGGCGUUAAUGAGGCAGCCGUGCGCUCCGUUAAGAAAAACGAGAAGGCCAUCAAGGACAGCGUGGAGAAUGUUUCGCCCAUCUGCUCCUAAGUGCUGUGCAUUCCCCGUGACGUUUACAUCGAGAUGGAGACCGAGUUAAUCUUUUGGGUCGAGGAUUAGACCGUAGAGGGGCAUCUGACGAUGAAGGCCAUUUGGCCUGGCCAGACGCGUGUACAAGCAGCUGGUGGAGACCACUGGGAAGGGCAACCCAGAUACCCUUCAUGCGAGCAAGGGAUGGUUUGAGAGGUGUAGAAAUCGCUAUAGUCUGCGAAAUUCGAGGUUGAUGGGGCAGGAAGAAUCUUUAAAUGCCCAGUCGGCACCCGAGUAUUCCAAGCAACUCCGGAAACUGGUCAGAUCUAGAGGCUUUGUACCUCAGCAGGUCUUCAACGCCGAGGAGAUGAGCCUGUUUUGGAAGUCCUUGCCUUCGCGUACUUUUAGGGAAACAGACAAAAAUCCGGAAAGCUUAGAGGAAGCUAAAGACACAAAAUCCCUUAUUUUUUUGUGCCAGUGCCGUAAGUGACAAAAUGAUAAAGCCGUUGCUGCUUUAUAAAGACCCUGAUCCCACUUGUCUUAUGGAAAAAAAAAUAAAAAACGCCGUCUUGUUUUCUGGCGAGCCCUAACAAUAUGGUUAACAGCUGACUUCUUUUUGGAUUGGUUUCGUAGUUGUUUUAUCUAUCAAACCUUGAGUUCUUUCACAGAAAAAAAUCUUGAAUUUAGAGUGUUACUGAUUUGGACAGAGGUCCCAGUCACCCGGACUCAUUCUUUGCUCAUCCUACUGUUGAUACUGUGUUAUCUCCCUCUGGAAAGCACUAACUGCCUUCAGCACUUGGAUCAGGGUAUAACUGGAGCAUUCAGGAGAUAUUACACCAAGCAUAUGUUUGACCACUUUACUGACUAUUGAAAAGAACCCUUGCCUCACUUUGAAAGAAACAUGGUAACAGUGAACAUUGCUGAAGUUUUGGUAGUGAUAAGAGGUGAUGGAUGAUGUAAAACCAGCUGCUCUUAAUAAAGUCUGGCGGAAACUUUGGGACAAUAUUGUGAAUGAUUAUGCAUGUUUCCCUAGAGCUAAUUAAGUUGAAAAAAGUCAUAGAGUCUGCAAAAUGGAUGCGCUUUAAAUUCAUCGAUAUUGAUGAAAGUGAAAUUAAUGAGCUACUUCAGUUUCAAACUUUGGCAAUAACAGAGUGUAUCUAUAGAUGAGGAAGAACACAAGUCUCUGAAAGUAGACAUAAAGAUGAAUCUAAGGAAAUUAAAUGCUGUUUUAUACCAAGUGUGUAAGGACUAUCAUUUAGUCAUUCAGCAAACAUUUAUUAAGCAUAAUCUGUGUGAGGCCCUGUGCUAAACUCUGGACAUCUCAGGAAAUCAUCUCAGGAUCUAAGGUAAAAUGGUCAUUAACAGUGGCUUUAUUAAUGUCACAGGUAUAAAAGAUCACAGUCUUGAUUUACUUUAGUGGACUUUAAAUAAAAAGGUUUUUUUUUUAGGACCACUUGGCCUCAUUUUCUGUAACCCUGUUUUUUCCAUACUUGCUAAAUUCUUAAUCUCAGAUGGAGAUUUUCUGAGUUAACCUUCUUUGGUAGUUGGCAUGAGAGUACUUGCUCUAGAAUUGCUGUCAUGGCCUUACGUUUUAUAAAGUACUCUUAUAUUAAUCUACUCUAUUAAUUAAUCCUCACUUUAGACCUAUGAAGGAGAUGCUAGCUCUUCCUUUACCAAAAAAACCCCUCAAAAGCUCAGAGAGGUUAAGUAAUUUGCCUGAGCCUGUGUAGCUGUUGAUGUAAAUGAUAGGGCUAGGCCUACAGCCGACUUAAGACACUUUGCUAGGAAGUGUAUUAGGCCUUUAAAAAUUUAUAGUCCCACAGAAUGAGACAGACAGGUAAACAGGUAAAUUAAACACAGGUUGUGAACUGGUGCCUGCAGGCCAGAUUUGGCUAACGUGUUUUGUAUGGUCUGCCCAGUUUAAAACAAUUUUGAAUUGGUUUUCAGCAUUUCCCACCACCCUACCCCUGCCUUUAAGGUGCUAUUUACAUAAAAUACAGUUCGCCAAUUUAAGUGUAUAGCUUGUUGAAUUUUUUAAUGUUUGUGUAACCAGUACCACAAUCAAGAUAUAGAACAGUUUCCUUGGCUUAAAGUUUACUUGUGCCCUUGUCUACUCAAUCCCUUCUCCUGCCCCGGAAAUGUCAUUUAAUAAUCAAGAUAUUUCACAUUAAAAAGCUAGAUUAAAAAAUUGGAAACCCUGACGAAGUGGACUCUGCAUCCCUGAAGGGCAAUAGUCAAUCAUUAGCUUGCUUCUUUUUAAAAUUUGUUUGCAUCUCCCCAUGGUUGAUGUUAAAUGCUGCAACAGAAAUGUGUACAAAGUGCCUUAGGGGGAACAAAGGACUGUGGGACUAAUUAACCUUGGGAAAGGCUGCACAGAGCAGCUGGCCUGGAAAGACGAAAGAGUUCAUAGGGAGAGCAGUUGGGAGUAAGAGUGUUCUAAGCCAAGGAGGAUUAGAAGGGAGAUCCUGGGAGAAGGGGGUGACAGGGGAACAGGAAGGCAGCCACGUGUGUGUUUCAUUUAUUUGUUUUUGUUGGCGGGAUGAGCCUCUAUAAAGUGUAAGAGUUUUGUGUAUCUGUAUUAGUGUUUGUGGGCUGUUGUUUCUGAAGGUUUUAUAUAUCUAAGAAACUUAGGUCUUUUUAUCUCUGCAUCUGUGGAGAUUUUAUGAUUCGCGUGUGUGUGUGUAUGUAUGCGUUAGAAUGGGAGGGGAAAAUUAGUAUUUUUAUUUUUGCAGGGGUUGGAGGUUUGCAUGUGGUGCUUGGGUUGCCCAGUGAAAAUUUCUCCCUCUUUCCCCGCCCCCUCCUUCUGGCCUGGCUGGGACCUGGCUGGGCAGUGAGGCAGGCAGCAGGUGGUAAGGCGAGAGGGCUGUUCAGGCCCUUCGUGCCCGCCCAUCAGCCAGCAACUCGGGCCCGAAGGUCCAAUAGGCUGUGCUGCUCAGUUACCGGCGACGCCAUGGACAGGCUGGGCGCACGGUGCCCCCUGCCAGGCUGCCCGCGGCCCUCAGUCCUUAUAUGCCUCCUGAUCCUGACAGCUUCUUUCCUGACAUACCCCAUGCUCAGGACCCUUAGCCUGCAGCUCCACUCAGUUGUCACUGGCAGCUAUGUCUCCGGCACUUACUCCAUUGUCUUUGCCAACUGUCCCAACGAGCAGAUUGCCAGAGAUAUUGCCAGGGCUGUCCUGGAUAAGAAGCUGGCUGCAUCUGUGAACAUCCUGCCUAAGGCAUCCUCGCUGUACUUUUGGAAUGGAGAAAUAGAAGAGGCCACUGAGAUCCUGUUGCUAAUAAAGACGAAGACUUCCAAGGUCCAUACGCUGUCCAGCUACAUCAGGAACUUUAGGGAAUUAAGUGAUUUGUCCAUGCUUACAUAGCUAAGAGGUGGCAGACUGAAUUUGAACCCGUGUCUGUGAGACUCUCAAGACGUCUGGCCUAACUGAUCACUUGGUGACAGGUUGAUGCAUCCUUUUGAAAUCCCAGAGAUCUUCAGUCUUCCCAUGGACCGAGGAGAUGCACACUAUUUAAAGUGGCUGGAGGAGGGCAUGAAGGAGGAAUGAGUGGGGGCUUUUUGUGCACCCUACUGGCAGCCUUGAGCCUUCAGCAGCUGUACCAUGGGGGAAGAGAGGCUUAUGUCUGCCUCGCAGUGUCGCCAUGCUUUUGUCAGCACAGAGGAGCUGAGUCACUUUUGGAGGAUGAAGGUCUGAGGCUCCUGAGGCUGGAAGAGGACACUGGGCCAUUCAGGCUGAACAAGAACCCAGUGGAACUUGUCUCCGAGUGUGUCAUGCUUGAAGGUGGCCAGGGGUGGGAUGAUGAUGAUUGUGUGUAGGGGCCAAGGGGAAGUGGCAGUGAGGGUGAUAUUUGUCAUCUGCAGUCACUGAGCCAAUGUCGAGUGCCUAGUAUGUAAUUACUCUGCUUCUCAUGAGGGGUGGACCUGAGGACCUGUUCACUCAGGAGUGUGGGAGGAAUGCCACUUUCUAGGGGAACUGGAAGUACUUUAUCCAAAAGGAUGAAUUGCUAAUGGAAUUUCAAGGCCAAGCAGAAUUAGCUCUCCUGGCUAAAGAUGGUGUUUGUUACUCCUGGGUCCUGAGGACGCGGGGCUGGGAGUGGGCUUCAUGAGUGCAUUCAGAACCGGGGAACAGCAGGGCUGAGACACAGCCUCUCGGGUUGGGAGUGGUCUUGACUCUUUCCUGGCCUGAGUGUGGCAGACAUCAGCAGGUUCUGGUGCCUUGCUCAGUGGCGACGUAGAUUCUGAGCCCACCCUGCUAACCUUUCCACUUGAGCGCUGAAACCGAGCAUCCCCGAGAAGGAAAGAACCCUCAGGAACUGCUAGACUGGUGGUGUUCAGACUUGGUCCACAGAGCCCAGGGGCUGACAGAAGGCACCCUAGGGGCUACCUGGGUGUGGCAGUAAGAGUUGGGACCCCCACUCACACCUCAGCCAGUGCACUUGUGCUUUUAUUAUUUGUGUAUGUAGAGCUAAGUGUGUGUGUGUUUGUUUGAUAAAGGUUUGUAAGCCAGUGGCCUGAGUCAGUCUCUAUUUUGUAGAUUAUAAAGGAAGCUGAACUGCACCGAGGCCCAGAAGCAGGGACCUGUUGGGUUACAAACAGUACAGCCAAGGCUGCUCGCCCUGGUGCUCUCUGCCUGCUGCACGGGUGUCGGGUGGACGAGGGCAGGGAGGGCAGAGCCCCGUGGGGUGAGAAGAGAGACUUGACCAAGGCCCCCUCUGUGGCUCUGGCACAGGGUAGCUGCACUCUGCAGAUACCGUGGGCAGUGUGGGUAGUAGCCUGGGUCUUUCUUCCUAGAGGGAAGGGUGUGGGAGGGGGGUUGCCAGGCUCUAGUUCUGACACCUUCUGUGCUUCUUGGACCUUAGUUUCUCCAAAUAUAAAAUGAGGGAGGACCUCCAAGGGCCCUUGUGUGAAGACCUUGUAGGGACUUCAGGCUGAGCCCCUUCCAAAGGUCCAGAGGAUCCUUUUAUGAUAGCCAGUGAGGAUUCUGGUGGGCUGCCUCAGGAGAACAAAGAGAAUGAUAGUGGUGAUGUCCUUUUCUUAUGACAGGUGUUUCUGGUACAUGUGAAAAUCUUGUGUAAAGUAAACCUUACUGAAAAUGUACUGGGGACCCCAGAUGGACUGCCUGUGUUGCUUUCAGGAUAAAGUCCAAUUUCUUGGUCUGGCUUUCAAGGCCCUUUAUAGCCUUGCCGCAGAUCUCUUUCUCCGUCUUUACCUUCCACCUCCCUCUCCUGCCCUGGCAAGUGGGUGAGUCCAGUAUGCUGUGCUGUUACCCUCCUGCCUGAGCGCCCUUCUGCACAAACGCUUGUGAAAUCUGGUGGCUCCUUUGCAAAGGCUGGCGUCCCCAGUUGGAAGGAGUCUCUCCUGCCUGGUGUCCUUGUGCAUCACAGUCUCCUGUUUCUAGAUGUGAGCUGCUCGAGGUGAGGGGGCAUGUUUGAAUCUAUUUGGUCGUUUGCACAGGGUUUGGCAAAUACUUCCCAAAUUGAUGUUUCAAGCAUUUGAAUAAAACUUUCUUGAUAGUCCAGUUA